Molecule: ribosomal RNA, 254 nt
Filed under: uncultured bacterium
Lineage: Bacteria
Description: partial 16S ribosomal RNA
Rfam family: Bacterial small subunit ribosomal RNA
Source: RNAcentral
UACGUAGGGCGCAAGCGUUAUCCGGAAUUAUUGGGCGUAAAGAGCUCGUAGGCGGUUUGUCGCGUCUGCCGUGAAAGUCCGGGGCUCAACUCCGGAUCUGCGGUGGGUACGGGCAGACUAGAGUGAUGUAGGGGGAGACUGGAAUUCCUGGUGUAGCGGUGAAAUGCGUAGAUAUCGGGAGGAACACCUGAGGCGAAGGCGGGCUACUGGGCCGAUACUGACGCUGAUGUGCGAAAGCCAGGGGAGCGAACGGG